Molecule: long non-coding RNA, 318 nt
Organism: Bufo gargarizans (Asiatic toad)
Lineage: Eukaryota; Metazoa; Chordata; Amphibia; Anura; Bufonidae
Exons: 3
Source: RefSeq, a predicted model, not a curated record
AACAAUCUGCACCGCACAGCCAAGGGUAAACAAGAGGGGGAGGCGGGCCCUGGACACGCCACUCCCCUCUGACGUCACAAUGGAAUCGAAUCAGCGCGUCUGCACAGGGCUCCACAUGCUGUAAAACAAUGAAGGAACUUUACACUCACCUAACCGAUCCCCAGCUGCUGCAAUUAUGCUUUGGGCGGAGUUAGGGGCAUGGCCAAGUAUGAAAAAAAUCGCCGUGAUGCGCGCAGCACGAAUUGUCCCUUUUAGCGAUUUUCAAAAGUUGGGAGAUUUUUUUAAUUCUAAUUUCUGAACAUGAUUAUGGGGACGGCC